This is a long non-coding RNA of Stegastes partitus (bicolor damselfish), 88 nucleotides long. RefSeq lists it as uncharacterized. NCBI's taxonomy places the organism in Eukaryota, Metazoa, Chordata, Actinopteri, Pomacentridae. The transcript has 3 exons. The record is from RefSeq and is a predicted model, not a curated record.
UUUUUUGGAGUCAAAAGCAACUAGCGACAAAUCUUGUGACUCUGUCUGGUGUUAUUGGAGAAUUUUCUGGUGUUUUGGAGACUCUGAC